GACGGAGGGUGCAAGCGUUGUUCGGAUUGACUGGGCGUAAAGGGCGUGUAGGCGGUUGGUCAAGUCGGGUGUGACAGCCUGAGGCUCAGCCUCAGAAGUGCAUCCGAAACUAGCCAGCUAGAGCGCGAUAGAGGAGGGUGGAAUUCCUGGUGUAGCGGGGAAAUGCGUAGAUAGCAGGAGGAACACCGGAGGCGAAGGCGGACCUCUGGCUCGUUGCUGACGCUGAGACGCGAAAGCGUGGGGAGCAAACAGG
RNAcentral lists this ribosomal RNA (253 nucleotides) under uncultured bacterium. Its description in RNAcentral is "partial 16S ribosomal RNA". It matches the Rfam family "Bacterial small subunit ribosomal RNA", at positions 524 to 776 of the family's 1533-position model. The record is from RNAcentral.